RNAcentral lists this non-coding RNA (24 nucleotides) under Cricetulus griseus (Chinese hamster). The record is from RNAcentral. Lineage: Eukaryota; Metazoa; Chordata; Mammalia; Rodentia; Cricetidae.
UUUGGAGUAGUACAUAGCUAGAAG